AGAAAAAGGAAAAAGGAAAAAGACAGAGCUUUUGGUCUCUGUCUCUGCGUUGAAGUUGCAGAGAUCAAAAGAAGGUAAGGUCAUCAGCAAUGGUGUCCAUUACCAAUCUCUUGAAGGAGCCGAGGCAUUCACAGUUCAUCAAAAAGCUCGUUCCUUGGACCAUUUAUGCCCUUCUCCCCAUCGCCCUCUUCCGCUUGUAUUGUCAUCCAAUCCAUCUCCCAGAUUCUCCCAUUCAUCGAACCCCCCAAAUCAUACCUUCUUCUUCUUCUUCUUCUUUGUCGCCUCCUCAUUUCUCACCUUCCUCUGUUCAUGAAGAAGAAGAAGAAGUUAAUGCGAUUAAUGAAACUCCCUGUGACUACACCGACGGCCAAUGGGUCCCCGACAAACUGGGACCUUUAUACAAUGGCUCAACCUGCGGCACAAUUAAAGACGCCCAAAAUUGCAUCGUUCAUGGCCGCUCUGAUUUGGGCUAUCUCUAUUGGCGAUGGAAGCCCCACAAAUGCUCUCUCCCAAGGUUCGAUCCCAGUAAAUUUUUUCACUUCAUGACUAACAAACACAUCGCCUUCAUCGGCGAUUCAAUGGCGAGGAACCAAUUAGAGUCCCUCCUCUGUAUUUUAGCCUCUGUUUCCACUCCGGAACUCGUUUACACUUCCGGCGAGGACAACAAAUUCCGGCGAUGGAAUUUCCCAUCUCAUAAUCUCACCGUUUCGGUCUACUGGUCGCCGUUUCUCGUCGACGGAAUUGAAAAAUCAAACGCCGGCCCUAACCACAAUGAACUGUUCUUACAUCGCGUAAACGAGAAAUGGGCUGUGGAUUUGGAUGAUUUUAACUUAGUAGUGUUCUCAAUCGGGCAUUGGUAUUUACAUCCCGCAGUGUAUUACGAAGGGGAUGAUUCUAUAAUGGGUUGCCAUUACUGCCCUGGUUUGAACCACACCGAGAUCGGAUUCUACGACGCGUUGAGAAAGGGAUUGAGGACGACAUUUGAGGCUGUAAUCGACAGAAGGGGUUCGUCAAGCAGCAAUGAAUUGGGUAUCUUUUUAGCGACAUUUUCGCCGUCGCAUUUUGAAGGAGAGUGGGACAAGGCAGGGGCGUGUCCUAAAACGAAGCCGUAUAAGGAAAGCGAGAAGAAAUUGGAGGGAAUGGAUGCGGAAAUAAGGGCGAUUGAAGUGGAGGAGGUGGAAGAAGCGAAGGGGAGAGCGAAGCAGAGUGGGGGGCUGAGAAUUGCAGCGUUGGAUGUGACGAAACUUUCAUUGCUGAGGCCUGAUGGGCACCCUGGGCCUUACAUGCAUCCGUUUCCAUACGGCAAUGGCGGCGUUGGGGAGCGGGUUCAGAAUGAUUGCGUUCAUUGGUGCCUGCCUGGGCCUGUGGACACUUGGAAUGAGAUACUCCUGCAGAUCAUGAACACCUGGGAGCAGCAAUCUGGAUUGUGAGAGGAGAUGAAGAAUUGGUUGAUUAUUUGGAGUUGAUUGAAAUAAUGGAAGUCCAAGUGUAACUAUGAGUGAUGACGACACAAUUAGCGAGGUUUGCAUUCUAUGCCCAUCGCCUUCUGGGUUCCCUUUGGAUCUACGCCGCCAUCGCCUCCUUCCCCGCCAUUUCAGACCCAUUUCUUCAUACCCAUUUCCCCUUUUCCUCUUCAAAACCUCUGAACAAUCACACCUUCAAAACCUCAUCGGGGAUUUCAGCUAUUUUCAGGAAUCGGAAUCUGGGUCCAUCUGGGUUCGGGUUAUGAGGGACGAUGAACUCGACCCCAUUGUUGGGCUGCUCGCUCUCCAUCUUCUGAAGCUAUGCUACAUGACAGUUAAAAAGGAGGUUCAGCUUCGGAGAGGCGCAAGCACUUGAUGUGUAAGAAGCUUCCUGCCAUCACCGUCACCACAGCCCUUCUGAACUGAUAUACCAUUUUCUCUUAAAGAAUGAACUUGUGAAUGCUAUAGACAAAUUGUUGCACAUUCUGCUGAGGUAGCUAGAUAUCAUCAUCAUCACAUAAUGAAUUUGUUAACGGAUUCAGCUUCAAACAGCAAAUCUAUGUUGCCUGAGAUAGUAUAUGUCCGUAGUUCACCAAAUCAUUAUGGUUUAUACAUUGGAAGAAUAUGUGUAUCUGAUAAUCUGAUGGAAUCAUAUGACAUUGGGAAGGUUUGUUCUAUAAUCUGUAUUGAUCUCCAGGACCAUUUCGAGAUCGAGUGUGUAUACGAGUUGAUGAGCUGAAAACUUCUGUAAUGGCCCAAGUCCACCGCUAGCCGAUAUUAUGCUCUUUGGGCUUUCUCUCAAUAUUUUUUUAACACAUCUGCU
Non-coding RNA from Cucurbita pepo subsp. pepo (vegetable marrow), 2286 nucleotides. The record is from RefSeq and is a predicted model, not a curated record. NCBI's taxonomy places the organism in Eukaryota, Viridiplantae, Streptophyta, Magnoliopsida, Cucurbitales, Cucurbitaceae.